Molecule: non-coding RNA, 26 nt
Filed under: Cricetulus griseus (Chinese hamster)
Lineage: Eukaryota; Metazoa; Chordata; Mammalia; Rodentia; Cricetidae
Source: RNAcentral
CACCAAAAUAUGGACUCAUUUUCCAU